ACCAUUUAAACAAUCAAAUUACAACAUACCAAGCUCUAAAAACAAAACAGAGUAUGAAACAGAGCAUGAAACAGAGCAUGAAACAGAGUAAGAAACAGAGUUUUGGUUAGUUGAUGGUACCUCUCGUUCGUUGUACAUUGGGAUUUGGACAAGAACCAUAGGAUAAACAGAGUUACCAUGCUCGAUGUCGUCUUUCAUUGGUUCCCAUUUGAAGCGUUUCUCUGGCUUCCGACCAAAGAGUUUAACAAGAGAGAUUACUAUUCCCAUGUAAACCCUUUCGACGAAAAGCAUCACCGACAUCGUUAAGCAGAUGUAAACUGCGAGCCUAAGGACUGGGACGAUCAAUGGAGCUCGAAUCUGAUCCAAGAUCAUUGUCAUUUGCAUUGUGAUGUCGUCUCUGUAUCCCAUGAACGAGUCCGGAAUCACGGCCGACGAAUCUCCCAGCUCCAUUUCUUCUUACUUGGACGACAGAAAGAAAAAAAAAACAGAGGAGGAAGCAAGAACCCUAGAAUAUAUGUGAUCCUUGUGAAACACGCAAGAAGGUACAAUGUGAUUCUUUAAAAAGUUUCUUUUGGCGUAAAGAAAUCAAAGAGGACGGAACAGAGAGACAGAGUUUUUUUCCGGCAAGGUGAAAAAUCUCUGUCUUCUCUGCCUGAAAACACUCAGAUUGUCGGGAACAAAGAGAAUUAAACUUUUUAACUUUUGUUUUUUAAUGUUUAUAUGGUUUGGUAAGAGAGGAAAGUUAAUAAUAACGAAAGGUGGAGAAGGAGAAGAUGAUUCUUGGGAAGAAAUAAAGAAGAGAGGAGAGAGAUCUAUAAACGGAAACAGAGAGAAGAGUGUGUGUGUGAGAAAUAAACAGAGGUGAAUGUCUUUAUAUAAAGCAUCUCUGCCUUUGUAUUGUUUUAGAAUAAUCAUUUUCAUUUUCUCUUUUGGUUUUACUUUAUUUUAUUUUACAGUAUGUAUUUUUAUUAUAGAUAAAUUAUUUUUUUGCUCCAUCAACCAUAAACUUGCUUUAUCUAUAUAAGUACUAGUAAACAUUGUUGAACAUCAAAAACAUUAUUUAAGCAAAAAUUAAAACAUCACAAAACAUAAACGAUGGCCGGGAUGGGAGUUUAUCGAAUUGUUAUAUGUAGUAUCAUUUCUGUUUUUGUGCUUUAUUGUUAGUUUUCAACUUUUAUUUUUUUCUCCAGUUGACAUUACCAAAAUGUAAUUGACUAAUAACCACCGUGAAGUGUGUAUACUGUUUUUUUUCUUGACAUCGUUUGUAUACUGUUAUUAAACAGAACAUUUUGGAUGUUUAUAUACAUAGGUCAAAAGAGUUUGGUAGAUGUCAUAGUUGGUAAUUUAUUAGUUUAGAACUAGCAAUUAAAGGCCAAAUAACAUUUUGUGUGAGGUUCAAUACAAUAUGAAGAAAUAAUGCUUGGCGUACACCAAUGUUCUACAAUUCACAUAAUGUAUAACAAGUUUAUUCCAAUAGGAAAGUGAUUGUAUUUAUUCUUUUCUCGAGGAAACAAUAUCUCGUAUUGUUGUCCUCUCUCGCUACAGUAUAACGUAAAACUCACGAUUAUAGAAUGACCAAUUGUGUAGUACAAGUAUUGAAAUCAUGCAGUGGUCCAUAUAUAGAGAAACAGAUAUAGGAGUCUCAGUUUUGUCUGUGAAGUCCAUUAAGGUGUUAUGUGUAACAAUAUUAAUUAUAUGUGUAUUGGUCGAAUAAGUAACAAAUAUUGUAUAUACAUUCACACUCUUUUAACGAAUCAAUAAGAAAAAUAAACAAUGUUAAUCAUGAAAGAGCUGGCUAACAUUAAUUUGGAUUAUGAUCUAUAAUUGAUAGUAUUGGUUUUGUAGUACGUUAGUUUUUUUUUCUUGGACAGCUUGUAGUAGGUUAGUUAUUGUUUUAGAAAAUAUCUGAUAAUAAUGAACAACAAUUCAAAACUGAAAAGAAAAUAUGUUGCUAACCAAUAAAAAUUGACCAAAAGCUCCAGAGUUGAUAAAGAUUACUCAAGAUGUUUCAGCAAAGCACAUUUGUUUUAUUGUUAAUUGGCGAUGAUGCCGCUUCAUCUAGCACCGACGGUACCAUUUUGUUUGUAUACAUACAUCAUCAGUUUUAAUAGCUAUCAUAAAUAAACAAAUAAAACAUUGACUAAACAUUUUAGUAAACAAAAAAGUCAAUUCUUUCAUAAACUUCGACGCACGUUUCCAGCUUUGUUUAUCAAUCAUUUUUUCUACAUGAACUUAAUGUUACUAGAUGGAUCUCGUUCUAAAAAAAAGGUAGAUGGAUCUCGAUUGUUUUCAGACGGUAGUAAGAUGGAACACACAGCGGGAAAGAAAGGACUGCCCAAUAGCCGACGUUGACUGUUACCUAUUUAGAACGUAGAUGGUCAUUAGUUUUUUUCUUUUUUGUAGUUAUCUUGCAUUACUCUAUGUAGUUCUUUGCUACGAGACUCUAUGUCGUUAUGAAAUUUUAAAACACAAUAAAUAAAAACGUAUUUAUUCAAAACUUUUUUUGGUCUAAAUUUAUUCAAAACUUUUGAAAACGUGAACUUGACAUCUAGUUACGAUGGAAUGUAAAAUAGUUUGUGGAUCAAAGACUUGUAUUUCCUAGUCAUCACGGCAACAAACAUUUCACUUCACGAAGAUACUUUAUUUGGAAUGAUUCAUUUUCGGACCGUACGUCCAGUUCCAAAACAUAUAUUAAAAAUUCAAAUAAUUUAGAAGCUUUUACCCUUUUUUUUUGGUUCGUACUUCUGAUAGGGUACUUCGUGUUAUAAUCAGUUAUUAAGUCAGUAGAUUGACAAAUUAAAGUCUGUAAUUAGUUGGCAUGUCAUGUGAGAACACAUACCGAGAUAAUAAUCCAGCAUAUAUACAUGAGUUUGUGAUAAUAUAAAGUUACAAACAAACUUGAGUUAAUUGUUACAUAAUUACUAAAAUCAUAUAAAUUCUUACGUCUUCGCCAAUAUUCUUACAAAUAUUCACUAUUAGAAUAUAACUUUUGUACGUGACAUAACUCAUAUAUUGCUUCUUAGACUUAAGCAAUUUGUUAAUUUGAAUUGCAUAUAUGCCAUUCUUAAAAAAAAUAUUUACAGUUGGCUUUUGAUUUCUUGGAAUGUGAAACAAGUAUGUAUGAUUAUAUCUCUAUAUUAUUAUGGUAACUUAACCAAUAAUGAAAAUUGUGGUCUGAGGUAUAAUAAUGAUAAUACAAAUAAAUGAAUAAAAUAAAUAAUUGGAGAAAUAAAAUAGCACUACAUAUGUAGUUGCAUGCAACCUGGAAGUAACAUGCAGUGCCAUGCAAGUAAAUAUAAUGUAAAGGGACCAAUUACCACAUGGGUUCUUACAAUUGAACUUUGCUUCUUUCACUCACAGUUAUCACUAUUCGUUUUAUCUUUCAUCAUUUUAAAUAAUUCUGAAUCUUCGAUUUUUAUAUCAAUAAGUUACGUGUCUAUUGAACUAAAUCAAACAUACGGCUAACUAUAUGUGAUUUUCUCAGUAAAUAGCUAGAGACACAUAAUCCUAUUCCGAAAACUGAUGAUAAUGUAUACACUUUAUCAGACAAAAAAAAUAUAUACGAUUUUUAUACAGAAAACUAGAUAGAUUCUAUGAUUUCACUGUAAAAAGGAAAUAAAACCAACUGGAUUGUAUGAAUUUAUAAAACAUUUUUAUUGGUUUUUGGGUUUUGAAAUUUUAAAAGAUCGAAAUAUCUCGAAGAAGGUUAGGAAUGUAUCUCUUUGUAAAUGUUCCUACUCAUAAAAUAUGUGAUCGACCUUGUUGCUCUCUACCCCCAUGAACAAAACAUUUACAAAUAGAAUGUUGGGUCCCUAGAAUGUUUGUUUGAUUUUCAAAAGAAAAGGUUGUACAUUUAUUUUAUAAUUAAGUCUUUCAAAAAGAAAUAUGGGUAUCUAUGUUACUUUAGAUAUGAUAACUAUAUUGUACUCCUUCUGUUUUUAAAAGAUACAUAUUCUAAAUUUUUCAUAUAUAUUAAAAAACUCAUUAAAUAUACAUUAUUUUUUGUGAAUAACAAUUUUUCAUAACUUUUAACCAAUAAAAAUUCAAUAAACACUAUUAAUUUUUUUGAAACUUAUAAUUUUUCAUAAAAUCAUACAUUAAAAAAGUGAAAAAUGUAUCUUUUUGAAACAAUUUCUUUUUCUAGAACAUACAUCUUUUAGGAACUGAGGGAGUACUAAAUAAGCUAUAAUAAUUAUGAAAGUAUUCAAAGAAUCAAUCAAGUUUUGUAGAAAACAUAUCGAAGGAACUAAAAAAUAACAACCGAUGGGAUAUAGAAUUGAUAUCCUAUCUACUUUGCCACCGAAACUCUCCUUCUCUCUAUUUAUUUUAGGGUGUUAUUUCAACUUUUAAUUGUCGGCAUAUAUAUUCUGUGUCUAUAUUAUUACAUUAUACGUAUAUGUUGAUUUUGUAGAAUGAUUCUUCUAGUCUUCAUCCCCUUUAAAAGCUAUGAGGGGGUUGUUGAGCCUCCUAAUUAAAUAUUUAAUGGCUAAACUUAAUUAGCAUAAAACCCGAUCAUUAUGUCAUUCAUUAUAAUUGUUGUAGUUGCACGAAAUUGAAAUAAACAAGUCACAAAAGAAAAACUUAAAUGAUAUAUAUUUAAUCCUUUCUAAAAAAGAUCGCCCUUAUAUAUUUUUACAAUAAACAAGAACCAUAAAGAUUUUUUUUUCUUUUUGACGAUAUAAAAUUAUAAAGUAAUUUAAAAAAUACCUUAUUUAUGUUUGGGUGUGCUUGCAUUACAUAAUACUUCGAGAAGCUAUCAUUGGAUCUGGUUAAAGUUUAUAAACCACUUACUUAAUGUGUACAGUUUCGCUCCUAUAAGGCGAAGGAGAAACCACACCUCAGUCUUCAUCACUCUAUUUCUCACCUACUUCCAUGUUCCAAUACUAAUUUUGUUUUUAAUAUUUAUAUAUACAACAGGAAAGUUCAUAGGUCAAGUUUUUUUAUAUAUAACUUUUAGGUGGAUUAUCAUAUGUUAAAUACUUUUACCUCUUUUGACGAAAGCAUAGCCAUCUUUAAUAUUCUAUUAAUUAGUUGUUCGUUCAUUAAUCGAACAAUCGUUCUAAUACUUUUCCAUUUACAAUAUUUUACGUACAUAAGCUGACUAGACUUAAGGUGGGCUGAAACAAAACUACGAUGCUAGUUACGACGAAUGUGAGUUCCAGAUUAAUCUGAAACGGCAGAUAAAGGCUCAACAGCAAGGUUAGUUGAUGGUACCUCUCGUUCGUUGUACAUUGGGAUUUGGACAAGAACCAUAGGAUAAACAGAGUUACCAUGCUCGAUGUCGUCUUUCAUUGGUUCCCAUUUGAAGCGUUUCUCUGGCUUCCGACCAAAGAGUUUAACAAGAGAGAUUACUAUUCCCAUGUAAACCCUUUCGACGAAAAGCAUCACCGACAUCGUUAAGCAGAUGUAAACUGCGAGCCUAAGGACUGGGACGAUCAAUGGAGCUCGAAUCUGAUCCAAGAUCAUUGUCAUUUGCAUUGUGAUGUCGUCUCUGUAUCCCAUGAACGAGUCCGGAAUCACGGCCGACGAAUCUCCCAGCUCCAUUUCUUCUUACUUGGACGACAGAAAGAAAAAAAAAACAGAGGAGGAAGCAAGAACCCUAGAAUAUAUGUGAUCCUUGUGAAACACGCAAGAAGGUACAAUGUGAUUCUUUAAAAAGUUUCUUUUGGCGUAAAGAAAUCAAAGAGGACGGAACAGAGAGACAGAGUUUUUUUCCGGCAAGGUGAAAAAUCUCUGUCUUCUCUGCCUGAAAACACUCAGAUUGUCGGGAACAAAGAGAAUUAAACUUUUUAACUUUUGUUUUUUAAUGUUUAUAUGGUUUGGUAAGAGAGGAAAGUUAAUAAUAACGAAAGGUGGAGAAGGAGAAGAUGAUUCUUGGGAAGAAAUAAAGAAGAGAGGAGAGAGAUCUAUAAACGGAAACAGAGAGAAGAGUGUGUGUGUGAGAAAUAAACA
RNAcentral lists this long non-coding RNA (5952 nucleotides) under Brassica napus (rape). RNAcentral's name for it is "long non-coding RNA (BNAP_LNC001946)". The record is from RNAcentral. Lineage: Eukaryota; Viridiplantae; Streptophyta; Magnoliopsida; Brassicales; Brassicaceae.